UAAUGCAUGCAAGUCGCACGGAGCUUCGGCUCAGUGGCGGACGGGUGAGUAACACGUAGGAACCUGCCCGGAAGUGGGGGAUAACUCCUCGAAAGAGGAGCUAAUACCGCAUGUGGUCUACGGACCAAAGCAGCAAUGCGCUUCUGGAGGGGCCUGCGGUGGAUUAGCUAGUUGGCGGGGUAAUGGCCUACCAAGGCGACGAUCCAUAGCUGGUCUGAGAGGACGGCCAGCCACACUGGGACUGAGACACGGCCCAGACUCC
Molecule: ribosomal RNA, 262 nt
Filed under: unidentified marine bacterioplankton
Lineage: Bacteria
Also listed under: 1 other name
Description: partial 16S ribosomal RNA
Rfam family: Bacterial small subunit ribosomal RNA
Source: RNAcentral